GACGAACGCUGGCGGCGUGCUUAACACAUGCAAGUCGAACGGAAAGGCCCUGCUUUUGUGGGGUGCUCGAGUGGCGAACGGGUGAGUAACACGUGAGUAACCUGCCCUUGACUUUGGGAUAACUUCAGGAAACUGGGGCUAAUACCGGAUAGGAGCUCCUGCUGCAUGGUGGGGGUUGGAAAGUUUCGGCGGUUGGGGAUGGACUCGCGGCUUAUCAGCUUGUUGGUGGGGUAGUGGCUUACCAAGGCUUUGACGGGUAGCCGGCCUGAGAGGGUGACCGGGCACAGGGGAACGGAGCUAAGGGCCAGAAUGCUUGGGGCGGCAGCGGUGCGGAAGGUGUCACAACGGGCGGAAGCCUGCUGCAGCAAGGCGGAGAGCGGGAGUAAGGGAUUCGGGGGGUAAACCGCUCGCGGCGGAGACGAAGCGUAGGUGACGGUAAUGGGUAAAGAAGCACCGGCCAACUACGUG
Molecule: ribosomal RNA, 468 nt
Filed under: uncultured bacterium
Lineage: Bacteria
Description: partial 16S ribosomal RNA
Rfam family: Bacterial small subunit ribosomal RNA
Source: RNAcentral